Molecule: ribosomal RNA, 247 nt
Filed under: uncultured bacterium
Lineage: Bacteria
Description: partial 16S ribosomal RNA
Rfam family: Bacterial small subunit ribosomal RNA
Source: RNAcentral
GAUAAUGGCUCAGAUUGAACGCUGGCGGCAGGCCUAACACAUGCAAGUCGAACGGUAACAGAAAGCAGCUUGCUGCUUUGCUGACGAGUGGCGGACGGGUGAGUAAUGUCUGGGAAACUGCCCGAUGGAGGGGGAUAACUACUGGAAACGGUAGCUAAUACCGCAUAACGUCGCAAGACCAAAGAGGGGGGACCUUCGGGCCUCUUGCCAUCGGAUGUGCCCAGAUGGGAUUAGCUAGUAGGUGGGG